RNAcentral lists this long non-coding RNA (4014 nucleotides) under Triticum aestivum (bread wheat). RNAcentral describes it as "long non-coding RNA (TAES_LNC007652)". Lineage: Eukaryota; Viridiplantae; Streptophyta; Magnoliopsida; Poales; Poaceae. The record is from RNAcentral.
GUUCGGUGAUCUUCCUCAACACGUAGUAUGACUUCAGUGCACACGACACAGUAUAUGCCCCCCUGGAGACCGACAACAGAACAACAGUUCCACAAGCAUGAGCACACUUGAAUUCAGGUGAGAGUGUGACUACUCCCAUUCCUGUCACGUAGAAAGAAGAAAACUCCCGUUUCGUACAGAAAUUCCAUGAGAAGCAAAAUGGCGCCACGUCGUAUUAUUUGUAUUCUUCGUUCUACGAAUCAGCAAAACCAGAUCACGACUCGGACACGAUUCACAUGGAGCACCUAUCUCACGCUUUUUCGACGCGGUAGCCAGGCUGCCUCUCUUCCUCAUCACUUAUUUAAGACGCCCAUCUGGGUUAAAAAGUCGUGACCGAACAAUGACCGGCGGUAUGUAAGGCCUUCCACAGCGUAGCCGGUGCCAAAUACAUCAAAAGGCAGCCACCUCAUCACCGGUGCCCAAAAUUGCUUUUCAGGCAUCGAUCUCACAACGUAGGGCUUCGGCAGGAAAAAGAUUUUGGGACCCAUAUGAUAAACAAGUACACCACGCUGCUGUGUAUUGAGCAAAGAGAGAGAAGACAUUUGCUGUUCAAAGUUGAGAGUUAAUAGUAUUUUAUUGGCUGGAGGAAUUGGGCAUCGUGUUCUUACUUGCUCCGAUGCCAUGAAAAUUUUGUUGGGGCACCGGCCUCACAACGUGAGGGCACCGGCUAUCGGUGCCAGAAGUUAAUUUGGCACCUCUUUUGGCCUACAUAAUGGAAGGUCUAAGAGGUGGGUUUGAGAGAUCGGUAGUAGAUGCUCUUAAUAAGCUAGUACUAGAAGAAGAACAUGUAUAGGGGAGGAAGGGGACAUAAGUGAAUCCCGAACGGAAGCACGUACCUGCGGGUGAUGGCCGAGUCGAGAAGCACGGUCGACGUUCGUGAUCGAGUUGGCGCCGUGCCGGAGCUAAUUCAAGGGAAUGCCGCCGCCUUCCAACCGGAGACGAGACUGUAUUAUGUGGCUGACAACCUGCGCAGCUUUCAAACAUGGUGGCUCCUUUUGGAAAAGGCUCGGAGUGGAGACCCCAACCGUGUCACUCGUGUCAUACAUAUGCACCUUACAAAGGGCUGCGAGCUUUACUACACAGAUGUGUUGGGUGUACAUUUGGUUUUAACAAAUUUGAGACCUUAUCUUUUUUUUUGUUGGGUUUGCUGCUUUUAUGUCAUUUUAAAUACAUAUGUGUAUGCUGUCAAUACACUAUAGAUUAACAUACACUAGUGUCAAAAACGCUUUUAUAUUAUAAAACGGAGGGAGUAGUCUGAUUUUCUCAACACGUAAAUUUUUUUUUAAAUGGAGGCAAAAGAUUUGGCUCAUUCAUUAAUUAAGCAGAAAAGAACUGCCCAGUUAAUUAAUGAAAAACCAGGCGAAAAUCAUCACAAACUACUGAGUGACACCAAUGAAAGACCUACACGCGCCACUCACAAGAGGGCCUCGUCAAGACUGCACGUCGACAUCAUCGCCAUCACUUCUCCCCUAGAGGCAUCAUUGCCAUCCCAAACUAUGAGAAACGACUCCAACUUCACCUCAAGAGGGCCUCGUCAAGACCGCACCUCGAGCGUCAUCACCAUCACUUCUCCCCUAGAGGUGUCAUCGCCAUCCCAAACUCUGAAAAACAACUCUGACUUCGCCAAAGGCGAUCAUCAAACCAACCCACCCUGAAUAGGCCGUGCGGAAUCACAUGAAGAUCCACAUCGGACCUCAGCCACAACAACAAGAAAGCACAGCUCUAACACCAACAGAGAGCUACGAAUAAACCAAGCAGCUGUGAAGUCGAAGCUACAGUGGCAGGGCCUGGUGGCAUAUGCUGACGAGUAGGUGGUCCGUUCGGUGAUCUUCCUCAACACGUAGUAUGACUUCAGUGCACAUGACACAGUAUAUGCCCCCCUGGAGACCGACAACUGAACAACAGUUCCACAAGCAUGAGCACACUUGAAUUCAGGUGAGAGUGUGACCACUCCCAUUCCUGUCACGUAGAAAGAAGAAAACUCCCGUUUCGUACAGAAAUUCCAUGAGAAGCAAACUGGCGCCACGUCGUAUUAUUUGUAUUCUUCGUUCUACGAAUCAACAAAACCAGAUCACGACUCGGACACGAUUCACAUGGAGCACCUAUCUCACGCUUUUUCGACGUGGUAGCCAGGUUGCCUCUCUUCCUCAUCACUUAUUUAAGACGCCCGUCUGGGUUAAAAAAUCGUGACCGAACAAUGACCGGCGGUAUGUAAGGCCUUCCACAGCGUAGCCGGUGCCAAAUACAUCAAAAGGCAGCCACCUCAUCACCGGUGCCCAAAAUUGCUUUUCAGGCAUCGAUCUCACAACGUAGGGCUUCGGCAGGAAAAAGAUUUUGGGACCCAUAUGAUAAACAAGUACACCACGCUGCUGUGUAUUGAGCAAAGAGAGAAGACAUUUGCUGUUCAAAGUUGAGAGUUAAUAGUAUUUUAUUGGCUGGAGGAAUUGGGCAUCGUGUUCUUACUUGCUCCGAUGCCAUGAAAAUUUUGUUGGGGCACCGGCCUCACAACAUGAGGGCACCGGCUAUCGGAGCCAGAAGUUAAUUUGGCACCUCUUUUGGCCUACAUAAUGGAAGGUCUAAGAGGUGGGUUUGAGAGAUCGGUUGUAGAUGCUCUUAAUAAGCUAGUACUAGAAGAAGAACAUGUAUAGGGGAGGAAGGGGACAUAAGUGAAUCCCGAACGGAAGCACGUACCUGCGGGUGAUGGCCGAGUCGAGAAACACGGUCGACGUUCGUGAUCGAGUUGGCGCCGUGCCGGAGCUAAUUCAAGGGAAUGCCGCCGCCUUCCAACCGGAGACGAGACUGUAUUAUGUGGCUGACAACCUGCGUAGCUUUCAAACAUGGUGGCUCCUUUUGGAAAAGGCUCGGAGUGGAGACCCCAACCGUGUCACUCGUGUCAUACAUAUGCACCUUACAAAGGGCUGCAAGCUUUACUACACAGAUGUGUUGGGUGUACAUUUGGUUUUAACAAAUUUGAGACCUUAUCUUUUUUUGUUGGGUUUGCAGCUUUUAUGUCAUUUUAAAUACAUAUGUGUAUGCUGUCAAUACACUAUAGAUUAACAUACACUAGUGUCAAAAACGCUUUUAUAUUAUAAAACGGAGGGAGUAGUCUGAUUUUCUCAACACGUAAUUUUUUUUAAACGGAGGCAAAAGAUUUGGCUCAUUCAUUAAUUAAGCAGAAAAGAACUGCCCAGUUAAUUAAUGAAAAACCAGGCGAAAAUCAUCACAAACUACUGAGUGACACCAAUGAAAGACCUACACGCGCCACUCACAAGAGGGCCUCGUCAAGACUGCACGUCGACAUCAUCGCCAUCACUUCUCCCCUAGAGGCAUCAUUGCCAUCUCAAACUAUGAGAAACGACUCCAACUUCACCUCAAGAGGGCCUCGUCAAGACCGCACCUCGAGCGUCAUCACCAUCACUUCUCCCCUAGAGGUGUCAUCGCCAUCCCAAACUCUGAAAAACAACUCUGACUUCGCCAAAGGCGAUCAUCAAACCAACCCACCCUGAAUAGGCCGUGCGGAAUCACAUGAAGAUCCACAUCGGACCUCAGCCACUACAACAAGAAAGCACAGCUCUAACACCAACAGAGAGCUACGAAUGAACCAAGCAGCUGUGAAGUCGAAGCUACAGUGGCAGGGCCCGGUGGCAUAUGCUGACGAGUAGGUGGUCCGUUCGGUGAUCUUCCUCAACACGUAGUAUGACUUCAGUGCACACGACACAGUAUAUGCCCCCAUGGAGACCGACAACAGAACAACAGUUCCACAAGCAUGAGCACACUUGAAUUCAGGUGAGAGUGUGACCACUCCCAUUCCUGUCACGUAGAAAGAAGAAAACUCCCGUUUCGUACAGAAAUUCCAUGAGAAGCAAAAUGGCGUCACGUCGUAUUAUUUGUAUUCUUCGUUCUACGAAUCAGCAAAACCAGAUCACGACUCGGACACGAUUCACAUGGAGCACCUAUCUCACGCUUUUUCGACGC